Dreissena polymorpha is the source of this 3422-nucleotide long non-coding RNA. RefSeq lists it as uncharacterized. Lineage: Eukaryota; Metazoa; Mollusca; Bivalvia; Myida; Dreissenidae. The transcript is spliced from 5 exons. The record is from RefSeq and is a predicted model, not a curated record.
UAUUCCGUGUUCGUCUCCUAUAUUUAAAUACAAGCCUACAUGUUUUUGAAUAUAAAUGUUGCAUAAUAAAUAAAGUAUACAUGGUUAUUCCCAUUUGAUAACAGAAUGAUAUCGUUCUCGGAUGAAUAUCGGAAGGAAAUCUUCGGCAAGCCGCAGGCUUCCCUAUAUAGAUUUCAUCCUCGCCUGACAUCAAUCGGUCAUGAAAAGACAGUAACCAUGUAUAAUUUAUGUACAAAUAAAAUUUCAAAACCAUCUCAAUACCAAAAGCAUCGAUAGAUAUAUUAAAAUCAUUAUUAUUCGAAAGCAAGAAGUUACGUUUUUUUUCGGCAAAGCUGUUUAACCCAGAUUUCACCUUAAAUGACGUAUAUAUAACGCCAGUAGACCCAAAUGCAUACAUUGGAAUAUUUAAUUCGCGGAUUCGAGAGAAAUCUCCUAGUACUUUGACCAUAAUACUGCAUAUAGCACAGCGUAAAGGAUGUACCACUGUUCAAUGAAAGGAACUGCGAACUACUCACUGUAUUUCCAUAAAGUUUGGUCCAGUAACAAUGACGCGUUAAAAUCCAUAUCGCAGAAUUUCAAUUUCACUAGGCGGCCACUGAAUACUCAGUGGAAAAAUAAAAGGACAAUCGAUAAAUGCUUAAAACGCUGUAUUGCUUUCUCGAUGAUGAUACACACACUUCCAAAGAUGUAUAGUGUCAUGAUAACAGGAAAAUCUUCUAAGUAUCUUAGCACUAAUGUUUUUUCCCGUCUGGAAAUCGUUCCUGAAAUCUGAAAAGGCCACCGGAAUUUGCCAUUUUGCCAUCCGAAACUGGGUCUAAUGUCAUAUUAUGUCAGCUUUGCUAUAGUCCAGCUUGCGCAUCUCGCAGUCUGAUCAGGUGAUACCUAAUGAAGUCUUAAGUGAUUUUAAAGCGGCCAGCGCAGCUACUGACCAGACUGAGAAAUUGCGCAGGCCGAAACGCCAUUAGACCCAUAUUUGAACACGCGGCUUCUGACGUGUAAUUUGAAUGUUUAAAAAUAGCAGUGCGUGUUAAUCAAAUAUUAAAUUACCAUUUUAUUUGAUGGUGGAGAAAUAAGCUCAUAAUAAGCUUUAUGAGGUCACAUGUGAUUUGACUUCCCGUAUUUCAAUUUUUAUGAAGCAUCACUUUUACGUGGUUUGAAUACACAUGCACUUAACAACGCAUAUAUAGUUUAUGCAGUUUGAGGUAAUUAACAACUGAAAAAAACCGACAACAGCAAUUCAUCUUUUUUUUUAAUUUAAUUAUUUACAAACGGAAAUGCUUCAACUUUAUUUCAAAGUCAGGGUAUACGCCGAAUAUCUUUUUAAAUAUAUUUCUUGAUGUAAAUGUAACUUUUCUGGUCUUUAAUGUAUAUGGUUACAGCUACUGUACUAUCGAUAUAAUUAUUGCUAUUUAAGAAUAUAUUCGUCCGUCAUUAAGUCUGUUAGUCUGUCAGUAGGUUUGUUGAUUUGAAACUCUUUCACAAUUUGUUUAGAAACCUAAUUUUGCCAUACAAAGCCCUAAUCCGACACAAACACACAUUGAAAACGCAUUUAAAUCAGUAAAAAGGGUCAUUCUAAGUUGUAUAGUUUCAAUACUGUGAUAGAACGGGCUAAAGCGAAUGAUUCCUCAGUACCAGAAGAGAUCUCACGUAUUUAUUGCGCAUCAGGCUCCGUUAAACUUAAAUUUCAAUGCAUUUCGUACAAACGAAAAUGAGUUCAGUGAAUUGAACGUCGUACGAAUUAAUGCCAUUGGAGCAUGCGUUGAAUGUCAUGUGGACAAUCGCUUCUAAGCUUUCCUAAUAGCUUGGUACACAUGACUACUUAUACUUCAUGAACUUGAUUAUGGUACAUGUCACAUUUAAAAUCAGAUGUACAUAUGUCUAAAAGGGCUUAUUCGAGCUCCGACUUCCCUUAAAUCAAAUGUAUAAAUUUUUACUCACCGAUUUCUCUAAAUGCCCGACAUAAUUUGUUAUAAGUUAAAAGGUCCAAGGACACAAUGCAAUUGGUAUUUCUAACCUACUUGUCAUAGUUUGCCAGUGAAAUAUUAAUCAAAACAUUUGCAAGACUAUUGUGGGAUAUCUCAUAUCGCCUGGUAGCUCUUGUUUUGUCGAAAUUAUAUGAACUAAUCAAAAUAUUGCACGCAGGUAAUGGGCCGGUUUUACCAGAUUCGAAAACUUCGUUUGGAGAAGGCUUUUCUAUCACCAUGCCUUAUAAACCACCGUAUAAAUCACCAACAUUUGCAACAGGAACGUCUACAGUCUACAGUUGGAAUACGCCUUGUACAUGGCUUUAGAUUUCAUGACUGUAAACGGUAAACACAUUUUAAAACACGGAUUAACGUCAUGAGUGGAAUGAAGCAAUUUAAAAACUACAGUCUUGAGGAGUUGCGUUACUUCGAUUGUCGAUUGUUAGAAACAACGACGGUGGUCGGACCAACAACGAUAAGUAAAAAUCAGACAUUUAUGUAUCCCAAAGGCACAGACGAAGAAGAAGGAGAGAAACAGGCAUUAACAACUAGGCAUAUUUGUAUUACAGCUAUAAAGGAAUAUGAGGAUUGUAGUUUAGAGGAACUGCGGUAUGCAGAUAGUGUUGUACCACAAUUGGUUUAACAACUUGACUACGAGAGUCUUAAUUAUUUAAAUAGAAAACCAACACAAACGGACACGUCCAGAUGGUCUUACCCGUUCAAAGGAUUGCCUGUUGAGAUUGCAGGUGAAGAAGAAAAGACAACAGUAAAACAGAACGAAGGUGUAGAAGAAAAUACAACAAAUAACCAGAAUGCAGGUGUAGAAGAAAAGACAACAAUAAACCAGAAUGCAGGUGUAGAAGAAAAGACAACAGUAAACCAGAAUGAAGGUGUAGACGACAAGACAUUAGUAAACCAGAAUGCACGUGUACUAGAAAAGACAAUAGUAAACCAGAAAGUGAUUGAUUGUAAAACCUGGAUUUAUCAAACGAUUGCCGAGAAAGGUUCGGAUGAUUUGUCUGAACAUUCGCCUAAACACUCUUUUGUUAAUUAUCUACAACGAUUUAACAAACCAGGCGAUGAAACAGAAAACACGGCGAAAAAAGUAACAGAUGCGUUACUAAAAAGAGUGUAUGUUGAUCCUAUUGAAGAUGCUGCCAACUCAUCUACAGAAUUAGGUAAUCUUUACUUGAAUACCCCAGCGUCAAGUGCGUUACAUUUUGAUCACCAGUCAACAUUAUCAAUUUCUGAAUCGGAAGUAGUUAUAUUGCCAAAUAUUUCAUCACAAGAUCGUUCGUCGUUUCAAUCUAAUUUAUUAUCCUCAUCCGAUGGAGCAACCAAUAUUUCGAAUGAUAAAACAGGAUUGUUUUCAAGACUUUUUAAAACAGAUGCACCGUUUUCAUUUGAAAAUGUACCAGACUUCAGUGAAACAAUUGUGAGGAGCUCUGAUCGAACGUU